GCCCAGCUCUCAAAGCCCAAAUCCAAGCCCAGGCUUCCCUCCAAAGCACAGAGAGCGACGAAGGCGGUGAGGUCGGGGUCCGGAUUCACCAAACCCGACGGCUCCCCGAUUUCCUCCAGAGUGUUAAUCUCAAUACAAUCAGAAUCAUCAUCACACUCAUCCGUUGGCCAUAUAUUCCCUUUCCGCUCACCACGGAAGAAGAAAGUCAAUUCCAGUUUCUCCCGAUCGACCUUCCAGUUCAACUUGGG
Molecule: long non-coding RNA, 248 nt
Filed under: Malus domestica (apple)
Lineage: Eukaryota; Viridiplantae; Streptophyta; Magnoliopsida; Rosales; Rosaceae
Description: long non-coding RNA (MDOM_LNC012214)
Source: RNAcentral